AUUUAAAAUUCAACUUAACGAAUGAUAUAUUAUUUAUAAUUAGAAGGUUACAUCAUUCAACAAUGUAUUUAUAACGCCACAAAUUAUAAUAACAAUUUACUUGUUCAAAUUAUUAUAUUUUAAAUAGAAUAAUGAUGCUAUGAUAAUUUGUGUGGGACGACAUUAAUAAACGUACUGGUAUGACUAAUUUCAGUGUCCAAAUUUAGAAUUAUUAGGAAUGACGUAGAGUGUAUAAAAUUUUCCAGGUGUAUUGAAUUCUUUUAGUUUUGUUACAUAAUAUAUAUACAUCAAUUGAAGGGUUUAGUGCAAUUAUUUCGACUUUUUUCGAAAUAUACAUAUUUCAAACAGACAAUAAAGUCAAACGGUAUUUGGAGUACCUUUGAUUACCAUUUAUAUUUAUUCAAUUAAAUUAUGAAAAAAUUUUACCAUUAAAACUACAAGAUUGAGGAAAAGUAAACAGGAAUGGUGGCAUCCUAAAGAUGAUUUUUAUUAUGAAUUUUUUUUUUUUGUGGAGAGAAUUCAAUCGAUUUUUGAAGAUAAAUAUUCCAACUGGAUUAUCUCAAUGCAUAAGAAAUUCCACAAUAUAUUCAAAAAAUACAAACCACUUUUUCCUUUAAUGAACUUUUGGGAGGCGUGACGACCACAAAUGUCCCAAUGAAACCGCUUCUAACUAGGAGGUAACCAAUUUGUAACCCCACCGCCCACUGAAAUAUAAGCGAUUCUAGAAUUAUAAAUUUGUGAAAUUUCCAAAAAUAAUAACACCAAGAUAGAUGUUUAAUAAUCACGGCUAAUAGUUUGUUUAGUAUUGUACUAAAAUAAAAUAAAAGAUGUGGCCUAGUCGGUAAUAUGACAGUGCUUCAUGUGAUUUGGGUUCGAGACUCGAUUACGAGCGGCUCUGUUUUCUGAGCAAGAGAUCAAUUUAUGUAAUUGGUGUCUUCAUUCCUCUCCUCAGGGGCGGACUAAUCAUCCAUCCUGGAGUAUUCAUGUGCAAGUUAAGAAACCUUCUCUUCGAGGGAGACCGCUAUGGCUUUUAAUGAGUUGCAAAAGCGUAAAAAUAAAAUAAAUGUUUUUUCAAGAAAUUAAGAAUAAUGAAUAGUAAAAAAUAGUUUGUACCCCGUACAAACUUAAGAUAUAUUUAUAUCUUAAUCUAUAUCUUGAACAAUAACAGAACUCUUCAAUGCUUGAUUAGUUGAUGAUGAAAAAGGUUUCAUAAUUUUUUAAUAUAAAUUUCAAAACAAUAAAAAGAGUAAGAUUUCAAUAGAACAGCUUAAAGAUAGGAACUAGUAAAAUACUAAAAUAAAAUGGAUGAAAACAAAUUAAAUUGAACAACUACAUCAUAUAAAAUAAAUUUUAUAUGUAUAAAAAUUAUAAUAUUUCUCUAAAUUUCUAGGGAAACUUUGAUAUUGAUCCAAACAAAAGUUACCCGUGGAAACAAAAACCUUGACCUACUAUCUGGUUGGUCUAAAAGAUUCUGCGGAUUUGCGGAUCUGAAUUUUAUUGAUUAGUAUCCCAACAAGCGACCUUGACCGUUCUAAAUCUAAGUAAUGAAUUUUGUUGUUUUAAACUCAACACAACAAACUUUUUUCAUUGAUUUUCAAAAUAUGCAAUCAAUUGUAAGGCAAAUCAGUAUUUAUAUAAUUUAUAGGUUGCAAAAAUAAAUUCAUAAUCAAGAUGUUAGUUGUGAUGCGUUUAUAGAAUUUAAACAUCAUUACUUAUGAGUAUAUUUGGAAAGAGCAAUUCAAAACUCAAUUAUUACAAAAUGAUAAUUUAUUUAAAAAUCUAAGGGUUUGUUUUAAAAA
Daktulosphaira vitifoliae (grape phylloxera) is the source of this 1799-nucleotide long non-coding RNA. RefSeq lists it as uncharacterized. The transcript has 3 exons. Lineage: Eukaryota; Metazoa; Arthropoda; Insecta; Hemiptera; Phylloxeridae. The record is from RefSeq and is a predicted model, not a curated record.